Molecule: ribosomal RNA, 458 nt
Filed under: uncultured bacterium
Lineage: Bacteria
Description: partial 16S ribosomal RNA
Rfam family: Bacterial small subunit ribosomal RNA
Source: RNAcentral
CCUACGGGAGGCAGCAGUGGGGAAUAUUGCACAAUGGGGGAAACCCUGAUGCAGCGACGCCGCGUGAGUGAAGAAGUAAUUCGUUACGUAAAGCUCUAUCAGCAGGGAAGAAAUACUGACCUUACGGUCAGCAGACGGUACCUGAGUAAGAAGCCCCGGCUAACUACGUGCCAGCAGCCGCGGUAAUACGUAGGGGGCAAGCGUUUUCCGGAUUUACUGGGGGGAAAGGAGGCGUAGCCGGUGCGCCAAGACUGGAGUGAAAUGCCGGAGCUUAACUGCGGAACUGCUUUGGAAACUGGCGAACUAGAGUGCGGGAGGGGUAAGCGGAAUUCCUAGUGUAGCGGUGAAAUGCGUAGAUAUUAGGAGGAACACCGGUGGCGAAGGCGGCUUACUGGACCGUAACUGACGUUGAGGCUCGAAGGCGUGGGGAGCAAACAGGAUUAGAUACCCUAGUAGUC